AUGAACAUUUCCCUGGCUUGGUGCCAGCAACUUCAUAUCUUUUCCAUAAAGCAUAUGGACAAUNNNNNNNNNNNAAUAACAGACAUUUUGGAAAAACCAGAGAUUUGUUUGAAUAAAAAGGAAUCAAUUCCAGGCAUUGUUUCCGAUAUUCAGUGUGGGGAAGAAUAUCAAAAGAUCAAGCAGAGUGGACAAAUGGGGCCUGAUGACAUAUCAAUCUUGUGGAAUUGUGAUGGAAUUCCUGUUUUUAAAAGUAAUAAUGUUCAGAUAUGGCCAAUCCAGUGUCAAAUUAUUGAGCUGUCACCAAGUGAUCGUGAAAGGAACAUAUGCGUACCAUGCUUAUGGGUUGGUAACAGCAAGCCAAAUAUGAUCACAUUUUUAACUGCUUUUGUGUCACAGCUCAAGGAACUACAACAGAUUGGAAUCAAAUGGAGGGACUCUGAAAACGUAGAGCAUACAAGCAAGGUUCAUUCACUCCUCUGCUCUUCUGAUUCAAUUGCCCGGCCCCUCCUGAGAAACACGAAGCAGUUCAAUGGAAAAUAUGGGUGUGACUUUUGCCUCCACUACGGUGGUGGCCCAUAUAUUUGGGAAACACCUGAACCACCUUUGAGGACAGAGACAGAUCAUUUCCGGCAUGCUAUGCUGGCAACACCUGCUCAACCAGUAAUGGGUGUAAAAGGACCAUCACCUUUGAUGGAACUUGAAAGCUUUAACAUGAUCACAGGCUUCGUUCCAGAGUACCAGCACAGUGUCUGCCUUGGUGUAACUAAACAGAUAACUUCUCUGUGGCUGGACAGUAAACACCAUAAGGAAGAUUGGUACUUGGGCUCAAAGACCAAUGACAUAGACCAGGGGCUCAAGGCCAUUAACCCACCUUUGGAAGUCACAAGGGCCCCAAGAUCAGUGAAAGACCGAAAAUUCUGGAAAGCAUCUGAAUGGAGGUCUUUUUUGUUGUUUUAUGCUUUGCCUGUUUUGAGUGGUAUUUUGAAAAAGAAAUACUGGAAUCAUCUUUUUUUAUUAGUUUUUUCAAUGCACACUCUUCUUCAUGAUGCCAUCAAAGCAAACCAUGUGGAUAUGGCAGAACGAGCUCUUCGAAAGUUUGUGCGUAACUUUGAGAAACUUUAUGGUGCUAAAAAUGUUUCUUUCAAUGUGCAUUUAUUAAUGCACUUAGCAACAAGUGUGCGAAACUGGGGCCCGCUGUGGGCAACAUCCACAUUCCCAUUCGAAUCUUUUAAUGGAACAUUGCUGAAGUUUUUCAACGGAACAACGCAUGUGCUAGAUCAAGUAGUUAAGAGAUUCCUUAGGUGGAGGGCUCUCUCAGCAAAAGCAGGGACUACAAUGGCAAAUGCUAAUGAAAACAUACAAUUUUUUUUUGACAAACUCCAAAAUAGAUCUGCCUUAAGACAGAAGUCAAAGAAGUUUCAAGAUAAUGUCAGAGGUUUUGGUUGCCCGAAGAAAGGUACCACAUCUGUGCUGCAGAGGAUGGCUAUUGAAGAAUUUACUGGUGACACCGUUAAUUCCGGUUUAUUUUAUGACCGUUUCACUUGUAGCGGAGUUCUUUAUCAUUCCUGCAAGAGCACAACUCUUAAAAAGAGAAACAAUUCAGUUGUCCAGUUAAAUGACGGAACAUUCUGUGAAAUUCUGACACUGGGGGAUUUUACGUGUGAGGACGGGGCAUCUACUGCAUCCACCAACAACAGAUUCUGUGUUUUAGUUAAAGAGCUUGCCAAGAGUGGAGGAACGUUGUGUAGAGAUGCUCAGCUAAAUAUAUCCUCAACAUUUAUAUAUGAAGUGUCUCACACCAAUAAUGUGUUUGCUGUCCCUCCGCAAUCACUCAAACGUAAAUGUGUACUGGUUAGGUCUAAGGACAAACUGUAUGUCAUCCCACUUCCAAACAACAUUGAAAGAGACUAA
Long non-coding RNA from Cyprinus carpio (common carp), 1911 nucleotides. The record is from Ensembl. Lineage: Eukaryota; Metazoa; Chordata; Actinopteri; Cypriniformes; Cyprinidae.